AGGCUGGAGUGGUCUUAUUUAGUGAACCGCGCCGUGGUGUGUUGAAAAAGUGAAGCGCAAUAGCAUAAAGCGCAAUUAAAUUCUGGUAGGCGACUAGUGCGAGUAGAAACGAAGAUUAGAAGAUUCGUAGCAGCAUCGGUUUAUUGCCGA
Armigeres subalbatus is the source of this 150-nucleotide long non-coding RNA. RefSeq lists it as uncharacterized. The record is from RefSeq and is a predicted model, not a curated record. The transcript has 3 exons. Lineage: Eukaryota; Metazoa; Arthropoda; Insecta; Diptera; Culicidae.